This 2484-nucleotide ribosomal RNA is filed under the name Harpochytrium sp. JEL94. Its description in RNAcentral is "large subunit ribosomal RNA". It matches the Rfam family "Bacterial large subunit ribosomal RNA". The record is from RNAcentral. Lineage: Eukaryota; Fungi; Monoblepharomycota; Monoblepharidomycetes; Monoblepharidales; Harpochytriaceae.
GGAAAAGUAGUAGAUAUGGGCAACCCGUGAAUGGCUGGCCUAUUGAUUUAGUGGGAGUCAACAGACUAAAAGUUUUAAAAUGAAAAACAACCCACAGAUAAAAAUCCAUGUAAAAAAAAGAUCCGAACUGAUUCAUCUAAGUAGGAUCUUAAGGGUUCAUUAAUGAACCUUUAAAUAAAUCAAAAUGAGAAUCACUUUAGUAGUGGCGAACGAACAAGUUAUUUGUUAGCUAAUAAACAUAGAAGGAAUAGAUCCAAAUCCUGUAUGGCUUAACAAGAUUUAGAGUAAAACUUACAAAAAAAGUUUGAAGAACGAGGAAAUCCUCGAAAUCAAAAGAAAAAUCAAUAGGCGAGAGCGAAAAGUACCGUGAGGGAAAGCUGAGAAAGGUUCAUUAUACAUGACACGAAAAAGAGAUUAUUUAUCUCGAGGAAGAAAUAUCCUGAAACGGGUUGUCGGCAGCGUAAGCUUCAUAUUGAAGCAAACGUUUACCUUUUGCAUAAGGGGCCUGCAACUUUAUUUUUCUAGUGAGCACCCUUAAAGGGAAGCCUAGUAAAUGCGAAGCCUAAUAGGCUGUAGAAUUAGAAAAAUAAGGCCCGAAACCAGAUGAUCUAGACGAGGCCAGGUAAAGAUAUAUAGGUAUGUAGUGUAAAAUCUCAUAUUUUGAAUUAAGGACCGAACCGGUGACUGUUGCAAUAGUCUCGGAUGAGCUUCGUCUUGGAGUGAAAGACUAACCGUAUCUGGAGAUAGCUGGUCUACCACGAAAGCUAUUGAAGUAGCAUUAUUAUUCAUAAUUUCUUCUAGGUGAAUUAAAGGUCUGCUUGACUGACUUAACUCUCAAUGAGAAGAAAUACAGAUAAUAGGACUGACUCUGGGGGAUAAGCUUCAGAGUCUAACAGGAAAGAGCCUAAUACUAUUAAUAAGGUCUCUAAUAGAAGUUGACAGGUAUUGAGGAAGUUCAAGGGUAUAGUUUACCACUGGGUGAGCAUGGAAGUUGCUAUCCCUAAGAGAACGUGUAACAACGCAAAGGUCGAAUAUAAUCAACCCCGAGCAUCAUAAAUUAACGAGCCUAAACUUCUGACCGAUUUAUAGUUUUUAUAUUGAUAUGUUUAUCUUAUCAUAUAUUAGGUAGUGGUACAUGUCAUAAAUUGACAGAGAGAAUGCAGGUGUGAGUAUGUAUAAAUGAAGUGAGAAAUCUUCAUGGUCUGAUAUCCAAGGUUUUCGAUGAGAAGGUCAACUUCGUCGAGUAAAACGGCUCCAAACCUAUACUUGUAUUUGGGAUGGAAUAAAAAUUUAUUUUUAAUAACCGUACUGAAAACCGACACUGGUGGAUAGAUCGCGUAGAUCAAGACUUAGGGAGAACCAUUCAGAAGGAACUCGGCAAAAUGACUCCGUAACUUCGGAAGAAGGGGUACAACCUUUAAAUCAUAAAAGAAAACGCAAGUAAUCUCUGAUUUUUAGGGAUGUGACACAAAAUCGGGAGGUGGAACUGUUUACUUAAAACUUCACUCUCUGCAAUCUGAAAAAGAUAGUAUAGGGAGUAACUUCUGCCCGGUGCCAAUACGUGAAAAUCGCCAUUGAACUAGUGAGUUUUCGGAUUAUGCUAGUUAAAUGGGAGAUAAACUUUGGUAAACGGCGGUCUUAACCAUAAGGAUCCAAAGGUAGCGAAAUUCCUCGGCUAUUAAUUGUAGUCCCGCAUGAAUGAAGUAAUCACACCUCCACUGUCUCCUGAAUGGACCCUACGAAAUCACAUUGGUUGUGCAGAUGCAACCACAUCCUAGAGUGACGGAAAGACCCUAUGCAGCUUUACUGUUAUCUAAUAAGAACCUCUCAUAUAUUUAAUACUAUAUGAGAAUAAUUGUUUGAGAGACAGUUUGAUUGGGGUGAUCGCCUUCUAAAAAGUAACGAAGGUGUGCAAAGGUAGGCCUUACGCAUAAUGGCUUAUGCCUGCUUGACUGUAAGAAUCACAAUUCGAACAGAGAGAAUUUUAUUUCUUGAGAAAUAAUUUUACUCCGCCAUAGUGACCCGGUAAUAUUAGUUACCGAUCAACGAAUAAAAGUUACGCUAGGGAUAACAGCUUAGUCCUAAGUUAGAGUUCAAAUCGACCUUAGGGUUCGGGACCUCGAUGUCGACUCUUCCCAACCUGGUUGAGCAGGAGCUUCCAAGGGUGCAAUUGUUCAUUGCAUAAAGGGGAACGUGAGUUGGGUUAACAACGUCGUGAGACAGUUGGGAUCCUAUCUUCUAGGAUAAUCAAUAGCAAAAGAGCCCUACCUUCGUACGAGAGGAUCAGGGAGGUAAAACCACUAGUAAUCCAGUUCUUUUUUAGCGCUGGGUAGCUACGUUUUGAAUAGAGAACCGCUGAAACCAUCUGAAGCGGGAAACUUUUCUUUUCUAUUGGCGUGUCAGGUAGAACACCUGAAGAGACUUAAAUGUAAUUACCGUGAGGUAUUGAGUUUAUUCUCUUGUAACACUGUAUACUACUUUUCC